This 659-nucleotide long non-coding RNA is filed under the name Pan troglodytes (chimpanzee). RNAcentral describes it as "long non-coding RNA NONPTRT015873". The record is from RNAcentral. Lineage: Eukaryota; Metazoa; Chordata; Mammalia; Primates; Hominidae.
CCCUCCCAGCGCCCGAACCCAGGCAACUUCCCGCCGCCCGGGCAGGAGUUUCUCCGUAGCCCACGGACAUCCGGGAGGCUUGUGGAGGGCAGGCGGGUAACCCCCACUCCCACCCCACCUUUAUCCAGGGGCAGCCAGAGGAGCCAGCAGGUCGGGAUUCGCUGAGGGGGCUCCACGCGGGGCCUCCCACGCACAGGGACAGGGUCUGCUAUGUUGUCCAGGCUGGUCUCAAAUUCCUUGCCUCAAGCGAUCCAACUGCCUCAGCCUCCUGAGUCACUGGGAUUACAGGCAUGAAGACAUUGUUUUCAAGGGAUCACUCUGCUUUGUGGAGACUAGACUGUGAGGAGCAAGCCUCGAAAGGGGAGAGCUGUUUCGAGGAACAGGUGAGAUCCCACAGGGAAAGCCCACAGCACUGUGCUUCAAGUGAGCACUGGAUACACGGAAGUGCCGGACAUGCAGAAUCCACGGAGGAGAAGCCUUGGAAGAGGAGGCCCCCGGGGAUGCCAAGAAGAGAGCACCCUCGGUGGGGGCAGGCCCCUGUGUAGGUGCCGGAGGGACCUGCCAUGCUCCCCGCUGCCCUCACUAGCCCUGCCUAGUGGCCCAGGCUCUUUGGCCUGUGUGGCUCAGCUCAAGCCCACCAGGAGGGUGUCCGCGCCCCG